AAUUUUCAAUUCUUUACUUACUAUCAUACAUUAUUGUCGUACAGGUCCCACCUAAGUUAAUGGGAACAAUCACAUGUCAAUUUGUAGCUGCAUUCCAUACCAACAGAGUAAGUAUUCCCAGAUAAUGGAUGCAGUUAUCCUAUAAAACUUAGAAAAGACCACAACAAAUACUUCUUCGCUAUGGAUUGAAGCAAUUUAGAAAAGAGUUGAACAUUCAAGAAGCUAUCACCGUCACUUAUGCUGCCACCCAUAAAGAUUGGAUAUUCAAUCUUCACUUCAU
RNAcentral lists this long non-coding RNA (280 nucleotides) under Glycine max (soybean). RNAcentral's name for it is "long non-coding RNA (GMAX_LNC000460)". The record is from RNAcentral. Lineage: Eukaryota; Viridiplantae; Streptophyta; Magnoliopsida; Fabales; Fabaceae.